Long non-coding RNA from Hyla sarda, 606 nucleotides. RefSeq lists it as uncharacterized. The transcript is spliced from 6 exons. NCBI's taxonomy places the organism in Eukaryota, Metazoa, Chordata, Amphibia, Anura, Hylidae. The record is from RefSeq and is a predicted model, not a curated record.
GUCUAUAGAGGAUGUGCAUAAGUUACAAGAUGACUUGGAUAGACUAAGUAUCUGGACAUCAACUUGGCAUAUGAGAUUUAAGUCCCGGUCUGGAGAAGCGCUUCGGCGCGCAACGGUCUGUCACCGAGAGGAUACCCGCGCGUCUCUAAGUCACACUACCCUGUCUGCAUCUCCCCGAUGUGCACCUGAACAUCACGUUCAAUAAAGACAACUUGAAUAAGAAGGUUUGAAACUCACACUGGGAUUUGAUUAAACUGAUUUUUAGCAUACGUUUCAUAUAAAGAACAGCUGAAACACUGCUAUUCUCCAUCUUAACCUGCAUGUCUGCAAUAGGCAGUGAAGUUUUCAUUAGCAGCCUCGGCAUUCCUAUGGCAGAAGUUGAUGAAGACAAGAGGGGAAAUGGGGGCAGGAGGAAUUAGCUGCAGAGUAAGAAAAAGGAAGAGAAAGACAUAGAGCCAUAGCUGUAACUUUGGCUGCCAACUGGGAAAUACAAUUGCUGGCAACUUUCCACUCUACAGUUGGCAAGCGUACUCAAGCAGAACCAUGACUCUUGGAGGGAUGUCAACAUACCAGGCGCUGAAUAAAGGCAUGGGAUUGAAAGCGCAG